GACGAACGCUGGCGUCGUGCUUAACACAUGCAAGUCGAACGGAAAGGCCCUGCUUUUGUGGGGUGCUCGAGUGGCGAACGGGUGAGUAACACGUGAGUAACCUGCCCUUGACUUCGGGAUAACUUCAGGAAACUGGGGCUAAUACCGGAUAGGAGCUCCUGCUGCAUGGUGGGGGUUGGAAAGUUUCGGCGGUUGGGGAUGGACUCGCGGCUUAUCAGCUUGUUGGUGGGGUAGUGGCUUACCAAGGCUUUGACGGGUAGCCGGCCUGAGAGGGUGACCGGCCACAUUGGGACUGAGAUACGGCCCAGACUCCUACGGGAGGCAGCAGUGGGGAAUAUUGCACAAUGGGCGGAGGCCUGAUGCAGCAACGCCGCGUGCGGGAUGACGGCCUUCGGGUUGUAAACCGCUUUCGCCUGUGACGAAGCGUGAGUGACGGUAAUGGGUAAAGAAGCACCGGCUAACUACGUG
Molecule: ribosomal RNA, 468 nt
Filed under: uncultured bacterium
Lineage: Bacteria
Description: partial 16S ribosomal RNA
Rfam family: Bacterial small subunit ribosomal RNA
Source: RNAcentral